GGAUUAGAUACCCUGGUAGUCCACGCCGUAAACGAUGUCUAUUAGCCGUUGGGUCUGUUACGGACUUGGUGGCGCAGCUAACGCGAUAAAUAGACCGCCUGGGGAGUACGGCCGCAAGGUUAAAACUCAAAUGAAUUGACGGGGGCCCGCACAAGCGGUGGAGCAUGUGGUUUAAUUCGAAGCAACGCGAAGAACCUUACCUACUCUUGAAAUCCAGUGAACUUAGCAGAGAUGCUUUGGUGCCUUCGGGAACACUGAGACAGGUGCUGCAUGGCUGUCGUCAGCUCGUGCCG
Molecule: ribosomal RNA, 293 nt
Filed under: uncultured bacterium
Lineage: Bacteria
Description: partial 16S ribosomal RNA
Rfam family: Bacterial small subunit ribosomal RNA
Source: RNAcentral